CAUUACCGAGUCGAGGUGGCCGGCGCCCAGGCGCCGGCCACGUACCUCACCACCCGUGUCUACCGUACCUAGUUGCUUCGGCGGGCCCGCCGCUUAGCCGGCCGCCGGGGGACCCCCGAGUCCCCGGGCCCGCGCCCGUCGAAGACCCCCCGAACGCUGCCCGGAAGGUUGCUGUCUGAGCGGUUACAAACAAACCAACAAAACUUUCAACAACGGAUCUCUUGGUUCCGGCAUCG
RNAcentral lists this unclassified non-coding RNA (236 nucleotides) under uncultured Arachnomyces. Its description in RNAcentral is "sequence contains ITS1". The record is from RNAcentral. Lineage: Eukaryota; Fungi; Ascomycota; Eurotiomycetes; Onygenales.